UACGUAGGUGGCAAGCGUUGUCCGGAAUUAUUGGGCGUAAAGCGCGCGCAGGCGGCCUCUUAAGUCUGAUGUGAAAGCCCCCCGGCUCAACCCGGGGAGGGCCAUUGGAAACUGGGAGGCUUGAGUAUAGGAGAGAAGAGUGGAAUUCCACGUGUAGCGGUGAAAUGGCGUAGAGAUGUGGAGGAACACCAGUGGCGAAGGCGACUCUUUGGCCUAUAACUGACGCUGAGGCGCGAAAGCGUGGGGAGCAAACAGG
This 256-nucleotide ribosomal RNA is filed under the name uncultured bacterium. Its description in RNAcentral is "partial 16S ribosomal RNA". It matches the Rfam family "Bacterial small subunit ribosomal RNA", at positions 524 to 776 of the family's 1533-position model. The record is from RNAcentral.